This 75-nucleotide transfer RNA is filed under the name Danionella cerebrum. RNAcentral describes it as "tRNA-Ala". It matches the Rfam family "tRNA". From Rfam's summary of the family: Transfer RNA (tRNA) molecules are approximately 80 nucleotides in length. The record is from RNAcentral. Lineage: Eukaryota; Metazoa; Chordata; Actinopteri; Cypriniformes; Danionidae.
UCUUUCUUGUUGCUCAGUCAGAGGAGCAUUGCACUAGCAAUGCAAAGGUCCUGGGUUCAAACCCCAAGGAAAGCA